This is a long non-coding RNA of Chinchilla lanigera (long-tailed chinchilla), 1609 nucleotides long. RefSeq lists it as uncharacterized. The transcript has 4 exons. The record is from RefSeq and is a predicted model, not a curated record. NCBI's taxonomy places the organism in Eukaryota, Metazoa, Chordata, Mammalia, Rodentia, Chinchillidae.
AGCCCAGGAGGGCAGCGUGAUGGCUCCUGAGGCUCCUCGAUUGAGCCUGGUUUGCUUUUCCUUCUACUUCAGUCAUUUUCUUCUUGCCUUGAGAAGGUCCCAAAGCUCUUCAAUGCAAGCUGGCAACUUUCAAAUAGAUGUCUUCCAAGGGAAGCAAGACAAUUCUUGGAUAUGGUACUGUUAGGGCUUAUGUCUAAAUGUGCCCCCAAAGCCUCAUGUGGUCAUAGGUGGGGUCAUUUUCAAUCCAGCUGCCCACAGGUCUCACUCCGUACUGCAUCUUGCUCCUGCGGGUCACACCUGCUCCCGUGAAUGGCUUGCUUUGACGCCCUCAGAACAGUGUUCAAAGCACUGGGUUUGCUUUCAGUUCCCACCCCACACAUUGGUCCUUGGCCCUCCGUGAGUAGUGUUCAGAUGGACCAUUUUUUUUUUUUUUUUUUGAGACAGGGUCUCACUUCCAGAGGCGGCUGGGUCUAGGGUGUGCGCUGCUGGGAUCAAGGAUGUGACACUGAGAUUGAUUUAUGGUGCGAUGCUAGGGUUAAGGAUGUGAGUGGUACAUGCCCGAAGGGUGGGUAGCCUGGAGAGGAUUUAAGGGAGAGAAAGAGGGCUGCUCCUGUCUCCACUUGCCAUGUGUCACUUGCUGUUUGCUGCCUGCUGUGUCACCCUGCCUUGGAGCCAGUCAAUUAUGAGCUGGAAUCUCUGUAAACUGUGAGCUCAGUAAUGCGCUCCUCCUUUAAUUUGGGCGGGGUCAGGUAUUUUAGCAACAUGAAAAGUCACUAAGGGUUUCCUCUCCUGCAAGACCUCACAAUGCUGCAAAGACUGCAUGAACUACGCCAUGCACAAAUCUUGGCAGUCCCCAGCACACGGUAAACGCUGAUACCGCAGUAGCUGUUAUCCAUGGUCAGGAAGAAGACACACACAAGAUGCGUAAAAAACAUCAAUGGUUAAACCUAGAUUCACGCUCAAAGGAAGAAGCAGGCAUUGAAGCUCUAGAUGAAAAAGAAGGGACCCGAACACUAAGGACUCGUCUCCAAGGCUGCCAGCUGGCUGUGCGUUCCUGAUGUUCAGUGUGAGGGGCAAAGCCCAGACUCGGGGUGUACGCAUGGGUCUUUCCGGCCCCCACAUCCAGGAAGGCGACCACCACCGACCAAGUCUUUUUCAACUACAGUCAAGCUCCUAACAGACCUCGUGAAGCAGGCGGGAUCGGUCACCUGAGAGACACAACCCCCGCACUCACAGUGCAGCCAGUCAGCUCUUCACAAAAGCAGCCAAAACCAGAAUAAGAACUCCUCACUAGUAUGACACAGGACAGGUGACCUUAUAAAGAAAACAGCUAAGUUACAUGGCAAAAAGCAGAAGCCCUCAAAAAUGGACAAAGCCAUGUCUGGUUAUUGAUGGGAAAAUUAAAUCCCUUUCCUGGUUGUAGACAAAUGCAGUUCCCACCUACACUUGAGCACACUUCUAAGAAUCCAAAGCCUGAAAUUUGUUUUGAGAAUCUAUGAACUAUCGAAGAGAAAAGGUAAUAAGGCAGAGUUGAUCCUCCCAGACAUUAAAAAAAACAUACUAUAUCAAUAAUCAAAAGCAUAGGACUUGCUCAAAACAAGAAACAAAG